GGGGAAUAUUGCACAAUGGGCGCAAGCCUGAUGCAGCAACGCCGCGUGAGGGACGACGGCCUUCGGGUUGUAAACCUCUUUUGGCAGGGAAGAAGCGAAAGUGACGGUACCUGCAGAAAAAGCACCGGCUAACUACGUGCCAGCAGCCGCGGUGAUACGUAGGGUGCAAGCGUUGUCCGGAAUUAUUGGGCGUAAAGAGCUCGUAGGCGGUUUGUCGCGUCUGCUGUGAAAACCCGAGGCUCAACCUCGGGCCUGCAGUGGGUACGGGCAAACUAGAGUGCGGUAGGGGAGAUUGGAAUUCCUGGUGUAGCGGUGGAAUGCGCAGAUAUCAGGAGGAACACCGAUGGCGAAGGCAGAUCUCUGGGCCGUAACUGACGCUGAGGGGCGAAAGCAUGGGGAGCGAACA
This 406-nucleotide ribosomal RNA is filed under the name uncultured bacterium. RNAcentral describes it as "bacterial SSU rRNA". It matches the Rfam family "Bacterial small subunit ribosomal RNA", at positions 356 to 774 of the family's 1533-position model. The record is from RNAcentral.